Molecule: ribosomal RNA, 252 nt
Filed under: uncultured bacterium
Lineage: Bacteria
Description: partial 16S ribosomal RNA
Rfam family: Bacterial small subunit ribosomal RNA
Source: RNAcentral
UACGUAGGGGGGCAAGCGUUGUCCGGAUUUAUUGGGCGUAAAGAGCGUGUAGGCGGCCAUGUAGGUCCGUUGUGAAAACUCGAGCUCAACCUCGAGACGCCGAUGGAAACCCCUAGCGAGAGUCCGGAAGAGGAGAGUGGAAUUCCUGGUGUAGCGGUGAAAUGCGCAGAUAUCAGGAAGAACACCCGUGGCUAAGGCGGCUCUCUAGUACGGUACUGACGCUGAGACGCGAAAGCGUGGGGAGCGAACAGG